RNAcentral lists this ribosomal RNA (405 nucleotides) under uncultured bacterium. Its description in RNAcentral is "partial 16S ribosomal RNA". It matches the Rfam family "Bacterial small subunit ribosomal RNA", at positions 28 to 526 of the family's 1533-position model. The record is from RNAcentral.
GACGAACGCUGGCGGCGUGCUUCACACAUGCCAGUCGAGCGGAUCGGCGAACGGGUGAGUAACGCGAGAGUAACUGCCCCCCUCUCUGGGAUAACAGUUGGAAAAGGCUGCUAAUACCGGAUCGUGGGCGAUGACUCGCGUCCUAUCAGCUUGUUUGCGGGGUAGUGUCCUACCAAGGCGACGACGGGUAUCCGGCCUGAGGGGGCGAACGGCCACAUGGGGCUGAGUUAGGGCGCAACCGCCAACGGGAGGCAGCAGUGGGGAAUAUUGCACAGUGGGGGAAAGCCUGGUGCAGCGACGCCGCGGGCGUAAUGACGGCCUUCGGGUUGUAAACCGCUUUCAGCCAUGACGCGGUAGUGGCAGAAGAAGCACCGGCUAACUACGUGCCAGCAGCCGCGGUAAUUC